GAGUGGCGAACUGGUGAGUAACACGUGGGAAACCUGCCCAGAAGCGGGGGAUAACACCUGGAAACAGAUGCUAAUACCGCAUAACAACUUGGACCGCAUGGUCCGAGCUUGAAAGAUGGCUUCGGCUAUCACUUUUGGAUGGUCCCGCGGCGUAUUAGCUAGAUGGUGGGGUAACGGCUCACCAUGGCAAUGAUACGUAGCCGACCUGAGAGGGUAAUCGGCCACAUUGGGACUGAGACACGGCCCAAACUCCUACGGGAGGCAGCAGUAGGGAAUCUUCCACAAUGGACGAAAGUCUGAUGGAGCAACGCCGCGUGAGUGAAGAAGGGUUUCGGCUCGUAAAACUCUGUUGUUAAAGAAGAACAUAUCUGAGAGUAACUGUUCAGGUAUUGACGGUAUUUAACCAGAAAGUCACGGCUAACUACGUGCCAGCAGCCGCGGUAAUACGUAGGUGGCAAGCGUUGUCCGGAUUUAUUGGGCGUAAAGCGAGCGCAGGCGGUUUUUUAAGUCUGAUGUGAAAGCCUUCGGCUCAACCGAAGAAGUGCAUCGGAAACUGGGAAACUUGAGUGCAGAAGAGGACAGUGGAACUCCAUGUGUAGCGGUGAAAUGCGUAGAUAUAUGGAAGAACACCAGUGGCGAAGGCGGCUGUCUGGUCUGUAACUGACGCUGAGGCUCGAAAGUAUGGGUAGCAAACAGGAUUAGAUACCCUGGUAGUCCAUACCGUAAACGAUGAAUGCUAAGUGUUGGAGGGUUUCCGCCCUUCAGUGCUGCAGCUAACGCAUUAAGCAUUCCGCCUGGGGAGUACGGCCGCAAGGCUGAAACUCAAAGGAAUUGACGGGGGCCCGCACAAGCGGUGGAGCAUGUGGUUUAAUUCGAAGCUACGCGAAGAACCUUACCAGGUCUUGACAUACUAUGCAAAUCUAAGAGAUUAGACGUUCCCUUCGGGGACAUGGAUACAGGUGGUGCAUGGUUGUCGUCAGCUCGUGUCGUGAGAUGUUGGGUUAAGUCCCGCAACGAGCGCAACCCUUAUUAUCAGUUGCCAGCAUUAAGUUGGGCACUCUGGUGAGACUGCCGGUGACAAACCGGAGGAAGGUGGGGAUGACGUCAAAUCAUCAUGCCCCUUAUGACCUGGGCUACACACGUGCUACAAUGGAUGGUACAACGAGUUGCGAACUCGCGAGAGUAAGCUAAUCUCUUAAAGCCAUUCUCAGUUCGGAUUGUAGGCUGCAACUCGCCUACAUGAAGUCGGAAUCGCUAGUAAUCGCGGAUCAGCAUGCCGCGGUGAAUACGUUCCCGGGCCUUGUACACACCGCCCGUCACACCAUGAGAGUUUGUAACACCCAAAGUCGGUGGGGUAACCUUUUAGGAACCAGCCGCCUAA
This 1381-nucleotide ribosomal RNA is filed under the name Lactiplantibacillus plantarum. Its description in RNAcentral is "Lactobacillus plantarum 16S ribosomal RNA". It matches the Rfam family "Bacterial small subunit ribosomal RNA", at positions 93 to 1460 of the family's 1533-position model. The record is from RNAcentral. Lineage: Bacteria; Bacillati; Bacillota; Bacilli; Lactobacillales; Lactobacillaceae.